AAUAAUUAAUUUUAAAACAUAAAUAACAAUUCACGAAAGAUUUUUCGUAUUAACAUUGGAAUGAAAUUGUUUUAGAAGUCAUAACUCAAAUUGAGAUCAAAGUAUCAAAAGUUAAACCUAAGUAAAAUUGAAACGACGAAUAAUCAAACCAACGUUCAUACAUAAAAUUUGAUUUAAUUUCAAUUCUUAAUCGCACACUCCAAACUGCUCAGGUAAUUAAAUGUUGAGUUGACCUUCUUUUGAAGAUGAU
RNAcentral lists this unclassified non-coding RNA (250 nucleotides) under Hevea brasiliensis (rubber tree). Lineage: Eukaryota; Viridiplantae; Streptophyta; Magnoliopsida; Malpighiales; Euphorbiaceae. The record is from RNAcentral.